AGCUGCACAACAAAAAAUUCUUAAGAAGCUUUAGAAAUUGGUUCCUUCUCUAUUUAUCAUGCCUAUAUGGACAAAGUUUGGGUUUGUAAGGAGUUGGAUUCUCGGGUAAAUGCUGCAAUCAACUUGUCCUUGGUAAGCUGUUCAGAUCCUUCUGACUUAAUUACAAAAUUAUGGUAGAUAGUAUCAUUUGCAGCAGCAAGUUUCGACUCUACAACACUGAUUUGUGCCUCUUUGAAUGUUUCGAUUACUUUCGAAACAGGAUGAGUAUCAAGAGAACAGCUCACCUUUACGAUUACCUCAUCUUGAGAAGCUUGAAUAUCCACAUCCGGAGGAGGAACUCUAGUAUUCUGAUGACGAUUUUCUGAUCUCGAGUUGGCCAAUCCAUCCCUGGAAGUACUGCUUCCAAAU
RNAcentral lists this long non-coding RNA (408 nucleotides) under Medicago truncatula (barrel medic). Its description in RNAcentral is "long non-coding RNA (MTRU_LNC005779)". Lineage: Eukaryota; Viridiplantae; Streptophyta; Magnoliopsida; Fabales; Fabaceae. The record is from RNAcentral.